CAGGGAGACAACAAAAUGUUUAAUAUUAUUAUUUUGUCACCUUAGGUCGAUCGGUAUCUCACGUUUUUAAUUUAUUAAGAAUUUCAUUUCCUAAGUUUUUCUAGGUCACACCCAUUAUUUUUCCUGGGCCAUUAGCUCAGGUGGUUAGAGCGCACCCCUGAUAAGGGUGAGGUCCCUGGUUCAAGUCCAGGAUGGCCCAUAUCUCUAUGUUGGGGGUAUAGCUCAGUUGGUAGAGCGCCUGCUUUGCAAGCAGGAUGUCAGCGGUUCGAGUCCGCUUACCUCCACUGAUCACCACCUCUUCCAUAAUCGGUUGAAAGGAAAUUUUUUGAAUUGUGAUCAAAUUCUGAAAGAAUCUAGCUUCCUAAUGAAAUCAUUAAGAUGCUGGACUCAUUGAAUUAAUUUCAUUGUUUUCAGAGAACCUUGACAACUGCAUAGAUUAUUUUUAAAGACAAUAAGCAUCUUUAAUGAUGCAGAUUUAUUAUUUGUGCAAAUGCAUUAAUAACAAUUCUAUUAAGCUGAUGCUUCAAUAUUUGAAGUUAUU
This 541-nucleotide transfer RNA is filed under the name uncultured cyanobacterium. Its description in RNAcentral is "partial 16S-23S ribosomal RNA intergenic spacer". The stretch from base 212 to 284 matches the Rfam family "tRNA". Lineage: Bacteria; Bacillati; Cyanobacteriota. The record is from RNAcentral.